RNAcentral lists this ribosomal RNA (775 nucleotides) under Tylenchulus semipenetrans. Its description in RNAcentral is "partial large subunit ribosomal RNA". It matches the Rfam family "Eukaryotic large subunit ribosomal RNA", at positions 344 to 964 of the family's 3401-position model. Lineage: Eukaryota; Metazoa; Nematoda; Chromadorea; Rhabditida; Tylenchulidae. The record is from RNAcentral.
ACAAGUACCGUGAGGGAAAGUUGCAAAGCACUUUGAAGAGAGAGUUAAAGAGGACGUGAAACUGGCACGAUGGAAACGGAUAGAGCUAGCGAACUCGUUCGUAUUCAGCCAACGGUUCUGGGUUCGGUCUUGUUGUGUUUCAGUUUUGUGCACGCAGGAUCGAGCGCCUGGGUUCCAAGGUGCAUUUGCGGACGAUUGCGCCGAGACUUGUGGGGCAGCGGUAGGACCCGGUUCAUGAGGCCUCCUUUUGGUUGUACCCUGAACUGGUAUACGACUGUUUGCUCUGCUCGUAAUGUUGGUUCGGCCUCGGGUGAAACUGCCGUUGGCGUUCUCUUGUGGUGGCAACAGCACGCUUUGCCUAACUUGGGGAUUCCGGCUGCGGUGGAGCUCUCGAACUGUCUCUCGGUGUAAAAGCUGGUCAUCUAUCCGACCCGUCUUGAAACACGGACCAAGGAGUUUAGCGUAUGUGCGAGCCACUGGGUAUUGCAAAACCUAUGGGCACAAUGAAAGUGAAGGCUCGGUCGCCGAGCUUACAUGCGACCGUGCUAGCUUCGGCUGGUGCGGGCAGCAUGGUCCCGUUUCAGUCGCUUGCGACGGAGCGGAGACAGAGUGCAUGCGCUGAGACCCGAAAGAUGGUGAACUAUUCCUGAGCAGGACGAAGCCAGAGGAAACUCUGGUGGAAGUCCGAAGCGAUUCUGACGUGCAAAUCGAUCGUCUGACCUUGGGUAUAGGGGCGAAAGACUAAUCGAACCAUCUAGUAGCUGGUUCCUUCCGA